UUUUGUUUACCCACACCAGAAGCGAUGUAAUGGCUGUUGGAAGGAGAGGACCAAGGUGCAGCGUGAUUCAUGGCUGGAAUGUUGCAGGAAUAGAGGCUGUCCUGCAGUUCCUGCACAUGAUUGUGAUCACAGUUGGUGUGCAACUGGAACGCCUGCUUUCAGUUCCUGGUUGCCACUCUCAUAGAAUUCCCUGAGAACAGCUGGGUUUCGACACAUCCAACUAACACACUACCUCUGUAUUACUUCAGAGUGUCUGUGCUAAGGGCUCCAGUCUAGUCACCUUACAUUAUGAUUGUGUUAAUGACAAUGCAAUAGCAAUGAACAACACAGCCAUUUGAAUUGCCAUGUUGUCAGGGAGUACCAGAGUGUGGGUAGUCAUCAUGACCCUGAUGAUUGGAACAAUGAUGUAUGCUUUGAUGGUGGCCAGAAUAACUUCCAUAGUGACCAGCGUCAGCGAACACAUAAUAUAAGGAGGUGAUCAGCUACAACUGUGCCAACCUCAUUUCCAACAUGCCGUGCUUAAAGACGCAGACCCCUUCAUCGCUGAGCUGCUGGAGGUGCUGCAGUUUGAGAUUUUCCAAACAGGGGACCUGAUCAUCCGCAGGGGGUUUCUGGGAGACUGCAUUUAUUUCAUCGACAGGGGUACCUUUGAGGUUCUGAGCUGAAGUAAGCUGAGUCUCAAAAAGCUGCAUCCAAAGUGGACAACAAGGACAAAGCUAGAUCCAGAGAGGACAAGGUCUAUCAAGACAAGGAUGCAUAAGGAUCCCCAUAUUCCACGUGGGAGAAUAAAGAGACCCUGGCGACUGAAAGGCUGUAUCAAUCAGGAGAGAGCGAGAGAGAAAGAGAGUGAGAAAGAGAGCGAUUCCAUUCUCUAGCCAGCGGCCCCAGAUUAGCUCUGAGAGGCAAAGGAGCGCCCCCGCUCUUUGACAAAUGAGAAAAGCCUCCGCCGGCCUGGCCAAACUGACAGGGCAAAUGGAAGCAAUUCCUCCCGAGGCGGGGGAGAGCAGCUGUGACCAAGGCCUGGUGUUCCAGUGCCACUCCAGAUGGGGGACGGCCUCGCCACAGUGGCCUUGCCGCUAGACAAUUGGCGUUCCUCUCACGAUGGCGAGCGGGUGAGCAGGCGGCCCUGGGAGACGGUGUGUAACGCUGACCUGUGUGAAACCCCAUCAGUCGCGGAUCACCGUCCCACUUUACCUGCCGGGGGGAGCCGCCACUGUGUGUUUGUUUCUCCCCCCACCUCUUCUGAGAAAGAGACGUUUGUGUGUGUCAUGUGAAGGCAACAAUACAGAGACUUGUAUUAAGAGAAAAAGUGUGCAGUAUGGCCUCAUGUGGUGGGAUAACUCAUUGACCUCAGGCUAGAAGCAACAGUUUCCAGUGUCUGGGCAUGGUAACCCAGUCUCAGCCCAGAGCCCUGUGAUGGAGUGAAUUACACAGAGACCCUGAUGGAUUAAACCGUCCCCUGGUGAGAUGUACUGCUGCUAUCACCGGAGACACUCACAGAGGUGACUGGGAUGGGACGGUGGAGAGGAGAGAAGUGAAGGAGAGGAAUGGUAGAACGAUAAGGAUUUGGAAAAAGGGGGGAAGAGGAAGAAUAGAGUGUAUAGGGGAGCAGAUGAGGAUAGGGCAAGGAGGGAAAGGAGUGCAGUGGGAGAUAUCCAAGUAAAUAGGAGACAGGGUUUGUGGGAGAGGAAUGGAAGUUAGCUAACCUUUAGUUCCCCUGUCAGUGUUCAGUGUGUGGGUGUUGAGGCUGACACUGGGGAGGUGAGUGAGCAGAGCGCUGCAUCAUGGGUGAAUGCUGCUUUAUCCAGGGCUAAAUGGUCCAGGCUUCACGAAGACACACAGCCACUAUAAUUAUCUAUCCCCGCCUGAGGAAUCAAUUGUAGCUAAGCCUCAUUUUUAUCAGACGGCGAUCCUGGCAUUAAAGUUUUAAAAACCUCAAACUAUUUAAAAGUCAUGCUUUCAGGGACACACACAGAACAUUUGCUGUUAACAAAUAACUUAAUAACUUUCAAUUAUUUAUUCAUGGUCUGUGCCGAAUUUGACUCUAGGUUAAUUUCUCUGCUUUAUACAUUGUUUAAAUAUGCAUCACCUCUUGACUCUUAUAUAAGUGUGGCUGUCAGAUCUAUCAGCUCUGUGCUGACUUUGAGGGAAACAGCUAUGGUCUUAUUGCUCUUUUAUAGACCUUACAGACUGGUUUAAAUAGUGAGUCUAUACAAGUGUAAUUACUGUUAUGCAUGUUUGCUCCCAAAGCUAAUGCCCAUAGGCUUUAGCUCAGUGGGUUAACACAGUCUUGAGGCCAACAGACAUCUGCGACCAGUGCCAGGAUAAUCUCAUUCUGAUUUGCAUAUUCAUAUGAACUCCAUAAUUCAGCAAGUGACUAAAAUGGGUCAGGAGGUGAUGGAGGAUCAGGAAAGUGGAGCUAGCUUUCCAUAGCCCCGGUCCGCUGAAAGCAUGAGAAACAAUGUGGCAGACCUGAAAUAGUUCACAGCUUCAGAACAUUCCCUGGGGGGGGGGGCAAAUUGGCUCUCAGAAGAGUAAAAAGAAACAAUUGCCCUUUACCUCUGAGGUUGCAUGUCGUCUCUCAACCACUCACCGCUGGGCAGAUUAAGGUCAAGUAGACCAUUUUCCUUCUUUCUCUGCUCUGAAGGCAGAGCUAGAAAGAGGGGGAGAAACAGAAAGAGAAUUAGAGGGAAAGAGAGGGAUUCUGAAGGUCUUUCAAAGAGGUUUUACAGCCAUCCCUGGUGAUUUUCUCCCUUUAAACGUUGAUAAUGGCUGCUUGUCAGAGACGAUGAGCUCAGAACUCACCUGCUGUUUCUCAGGCCGACUACGAGAUCUCUUUUUACACACAUUAAUUAUGAAAGAAAUGCCAUGUUGAUCCCAUUGCUGUUGAAUGUGACUCACACAUAUGUCCAUGAAUAGAUUACAAGAGGCAGAUAUGUUGAGAAUGUAGGCUACCCCCAAUUUUCUCUCUCUCAAGAAUUUAGUAAAUACUUAGUAAAUCAACUUUCGCCUUUGCAGUAAUGUAUAAUGAGUCAUUGAAAUAUCGACGCAAUUUGUGCUCAUGUACAUAUCUACCUCAAAUACUGUACCUUGUACCUCUGCACAUUGAUCUGGUACUCCCUACUACUGGAUUGCCAGACAUAGCUGCUGAGUGGGUGAUUCUUAUGAAACUUUCCACCAUGAUACCUAUUGGGUCACUAAGGAUCUAUAGUUAUCUAUAUCUUAAUUAUUAUUAUGUUUAUUGAUCAGAUAUUAUGCAUUUUACCACAAUUUCCACAACUACCAAUGCAAAAAUUCUCAUUACCGCAAUAGUUUUUUAAGUCCAAAAAAGUCAUAAACAAAUCAAUUUGUAAUCAUUUUUAACAUUGCUCACCUAAUGAAAAGGCCUGAAUUAUACAUAACAAUAAAAGCAAAUAUACAGUGGGGAGAACAAGUAUUUGAAACACUGCCGAUUUUGCAGG
Salvelinus namaycush (lake trout) is the source of this 3461-nucleotide long non-coding RNA. RefSeq lists it as uncharacterized. NCBI's taxonomy places the organism in Eukaryota, Metazoa, Chordata, Actinopteri, Salmoniformes, Salmonidae. The record is from RefSeq and is a predicted model, not a curated record. The transcript is spliced from 6 exons.